UACAGAGGUCUCAAGCGUUGUUCGGAUUCAUUGGGCGUAAAGAGCUCGUAGGUGGCGUGUCGCGUCUGCCGUGAAAGCCCAUGGCUUAACUGUGGGUCUGCGGUGGAUACGGGCAGGCUGGAGGCUGGUAGGGGCAAGCGGAAUUCCCGGUGUAGUGGUGGAAUGCGUAGAUAUCGGGAGGAACACCAGUGGCGAAGGCGGCUCACUGGACCGGAACUGACGCUGAGGCGCGAAAGCGUGGGGAGCAAACAGG
This 253-nucleotide ribosomal RNA is filed under the name uncultured bacterium. RNAcentral's name for it is "partial 16S ribosomal RNA". It matches the Rfam family "Bacterial small subunit ribosomal RNA", at positions 524 to 776 of the family's 1533-position model. The record is from RNAcentral.